Molecule: ribosomal RNA, 259 nt
Filed under: uncultured bacterium
Lineage: Bacteria
Description: partial 16S ribosomal RNA
Rfam family: Bacterial small subunit ribosomal RNA
Source: RNAcentral
CCACGCCGUAAACGAUGAAUACUAGGUGUAGGGGGUGUCAACUCCCCCUGUGCCGCCGCUAACGCAUUAAGUAUUCCGCCUGGGGAGUACGGUCGCAAGAUUAAAACUCAAAGGAAUUGACGGGGGCCCGCACAAGUAGCGGAGCAUGUGGUUUAAUUCGACGCAACGCGAAGAACCUUACCUAGACUUGACAUCUUCUGCAUUACCCUUAAUCGGGGAAGUCCUUUCGGGGACAGAAUGACAGGUGGUGCAUGGUUGU